Long non-coding RNA from Chroicocephalus ridibundus (black-headed gull), 6609 nucleotides. RefSeq lists it as uncharacterized. The record is from RefSeq and is a predicted model, not a curated record. The transcript has 12 exons. Lineage: Eukaryota; Metazoa; Chordata; Aves; Charadriiformes; Laridae.
ACAAACUGCUUGCUCCAGGCAGGCAGAAAGCUUAUGGAAAUGAUAUUAGACCUUCAGCAAAGUGCACAGCUGCAUCAUACAGAAGCCGAGACUCAAACUGACAGGCAAAUAAGCCAGAUCACGGAAGGGGCCUCUGUGUGGCAGCUCUGAGCUACCAAGUGUUGGACAACUAGGCAAAAAGUGCAAUGGAACAGGGCAGAAAAUAACACACUAACUUCAGGCAACUGUUGCUUUUUCAUGGUCUUUAGGGAUUUUACACUGCGUAUCUGGAAAAACAAGUCAACGUUUAAACACUAAGUCUACAGCUUGAAUGGCCUGGAAAGUAACAUUUUCUGUAGACGUCAGCUUCUUCUGGUGUGAUGCCCCAUUCUUCUGGUGACGCCACAUGCAGCACUGAGCAGCACUGGCAAAUGGAAGAGGUCUCUUGGAAGAAGGGGUAUGGCUGCCUUCCCCUUUCCCAGCGGGGCCCUGUUUGCCGCCUCACCAGCCGCAGAGCAAGAGAAGCCAACUUUAGGAGCAUGCAUAUUGUGAUAUCCUCAGCGAUUUCUUUUACAAUACGUUCUGCUCAGGCCAGUGAAUUUAGUUUAACAGAUCAGUAAAAGAAAAAAAAAGAAAAAGGAAACUGAAGAAGUUAAUUAUACCAGAAUUCAGCGAAGUAAUUGUGCAGAGCCAAGGAACCUGCCAGAGGUGGUCUAUGUUCAGGCACUGUCACACAAGCCUCUGCAGCAUGUAACCGAUUGUGCAGCUGCUUGAGACAACCGCAUGAAGAGUGCUUAGGUGCAGUGGAAGGAGCUCCGCUCACACAAGACUUGCUGAUUCGAACAGGAGCUGAAAAACUUGGGAGAAAAAUCACCCUCAUCUCCCACAGUCACAGUAGUAGGACUUCUGCUCACGGGGGUUCGUGCACUGCAGCUGCCCCUGAAGGAAUAAUCACGGAAGGAAUUGCUUUCAGAAGGGUGAUACUUUCUCAAUAAUAAUGACUGCUGCCUCCGUGCCAGAAGUGAGUGGAACUUGAGUGAAUGCAUUGCACAAGAGAAAACAGAGUGGGAAUAGCCCGGGGAGGAAGCACAUCGCCUCGCAAUCUUGAAAAGGAGUUAAUCACUUUGGAAUCCCCCCAGUUAUCGCUGAGCAGCACCUACACAGAGUCAAGAUCUUUGCUCCUCACACCACCCCAUCAGCAAGUAGGCUGGGGGUGCAGAAGAACCUGGGAGGGAACACAGCUGGGAGAGCUGACCUCAACUGGCCAAAGGGAUAUUCCAUACCACAUGACGUCAUGCUCAGCAAUAAAAGCUGAGGGAAGAAGAAAGGGAGGGCAUUGGGAGUUAAGGCAUUUGUCUUCCCAAGUAACUGUUACCUGUGAUGGAGCCCUGCUUUCCUGGAGAUGGCUGAACACCUGCCUGCCCAUGGGAAAGCAUGGUGUGGAGAAGACCAGCAACUUUUGUGCUUCAUUUCCUGACCCUAUAAACACUUACGGAUUUUGUCUGGUUUCAAGUGAGAAGACCCACUGACAUGCAGAGAGACUACUCUGGAGCUUAAAUUUAAGCAGGUGUGUAAGCGUUUGUGGAACUAGGGCUUUUUUAUAUUUAUUGACCGACAGGUUCAUUGCCCUACAGGGAGUACUUCAAAAGAGUACUUGCUUCCAGACACUUUUUUUCUUUUUGGAAAGACCACUUUUAGGUCUAGCCCUUGUUACAGCUCCACAGAUUUACACUGUGAGAAGGCCCGGAGUAGUGCCACAAAAGCGGGAAUUUGGGCAAGGUUGUAUGAUCAGCCAUGGUCUGAGUGAGGGCUUGUAGGCUGCAGUGAGUGGUUCCUCGUGCUGUCAAAAUGUGUAUUGCGUGUAUUGCAUGAUGGCCACAGCUCAACCUGUGAAAUACACUCCUGGCUGUGCUAGGAGAGGAGUUCUGACACAGUUUUGAAGAGACGAGCCAGAAGAGAAGUACGACAAUGGGACAGAGGAGAUGAUGCUGACAAUCGCAUUGUUUACAGGAGUCCUUUUGGGAGCUUUAGGGCUGCAACUGUUGCCCCAGCUACAGCUUUGCAGAGCAGCUACAAGUUGGUGUUUCUGAAGACCGCAGGCUGGCCUUUAUGCUGGGUCUGGGGAAACCUUCUCCAUCACAAUUCCUUGUACAAAGCUAUUUUUUCCGGGUUUAUGCUGAUACAAGGGAGGAGGGAAACACAUCAUCCUGGUUUUUACACAAGAUUUUCUUGUGUGAGCUGUAGAAAAAUCACAGUUGUCUUCUUGGGAUUCCCUUUAUCUUUGGAGGGGGUUUCCUAUGUCUUCUGUGGAACCAGAAUUUGUUCUUUUAUUAAUUAACUCCAAAAAGGACACUUUGAUACUAUGCUCUAAGUGACAUGCAUUAAAAAAAAAUCCUGAAAUUUCUUGAAUUUGCAUGUACAGCUCCUCUUAUUAGUAUUAUACUGUUAGCCAACUGACUACCAUUGAUGAAAUUUAUUAAUCCAUUGAAUUCUGUUUAUAAACUUCUUUCAAGUAAAUAAGACUUUGUGUAAGACAUCAGCUGUUAAAAUGGAUGAAGACUUUAACAAUUCUUAUUUAUGGAAGAAGAGGUAUUUCUUAUUGGUAAAAGUCUAUAAAAUCAGAUGGUCUAUGAAAAACAGUAUGCUAAAUAGACCGCUCUUGAGAUCUGCUGUUUCAUUUUUUGGCAUGAGUAUUUGUGUUAAAUUGUACAUUCACCUUGUAAAGUUCAUUCUUUCCUAACUACAUUAUACUGCUAUUAUAAGUGCUCCAGUUAAAAUGACACCUUUUUAUUAUAGGAUGGUCUGCUAAUAUAGCUACAGUAAAAACUCGUCAACUUUUCCAUUAUAAAUAUAAAUCCCUAUUUUCAGGGACUUUAAACUCUGCUAUAAAUACUCGUUCCAGGCUAACAUUUGGCAUACAAAGCCUCAUCCAAACAGCAAAGCUAUUUAUUAUAGAAUUACUUUAACCAUUUGAAAAUACUUUAUCACAGAAAAAGUGGAAAUAGUUGCAUGUUGGUUUUGAUCUGGCGGAUCCCUAGAGUCCGGGAAGCUGGGCAGGGAGGAAGGUGCUGGGGCAAGAGAGCUGGGUUGUGCUUCCUACUGAUGCUGCGUCGCUCCUCUGCACUGUCUGAUUCUGCUUAGGCCAGGCUGAGUUAAAGGGGCUUUUUGUCUUCGGGUGGUUUUGGUUUGGGGGGGCUUUUUCAACCAUUGCAUUUCUGGCACAGUCUUCCCAAGGAACUUCAAUUUCAUACCUGAAAAAUUACUUCUGACACCCUGUCAAUUUUUUCCUAUGGAAUGGAAAGUUCUUAAGUCCCUUCCGCUUCCGUAAGCUUCUCAAAAAUUUGAGUCCUACAAAGUAGGUGUGUGAGGUCCUUACUGGUAUAGUUUAAAACAGGAUUAUCUUGGCAACAGAGUAGUAAGGCUGCCCAGGCUUUUUCUACCUCACCAUAUCCUGUGGCUGCAUUCAGUGCUGAAAUUUAACAUCUUUCUGAAGAUUAAUACAGUUCUCUCAAAUUCUCUUUCUGUGGACACUGCUGCUAAGAAGCAUCUGGCAUGAUAUCUCUGAAAGAAGUAGUUUCAGACAUACUUCAGGUUGCAGUUUCAUGAUCAUUUUACACUGCCCUGGGUAGCAGCUCUUGCUGAAGGGACUCAGUUGUCUCACUUGUCCUGCCUGUCCUGGGAUUUUCUGCAGUUCCUCUAUCUGUGUAGUCAGUCAGCCAGACCCAGAAGCUGCUUUCACUGUGAUAAAACAAAAUACACAUGGGUGUGGGUUGGUUGGCCAGACAAGGUCCCUGCCCACCUUAUCAAGUGGCCCACAGGGGCAGUGGUCAUGGCCAGCAGGGCAUCAUGAAGGUCAGACUGUCCAUCUCCCACCAGCAGCCCUGUCUUGGCUCGUCUCAAAUGCAAUGAUGAAACUGCAGUCAGUGAUACUUAAUGGCUGCUUGAAGACCUUCCAGAGAGUGACUGCUAUGCCUUGCAGAGUGCCUGAAAGGAUUUUCCAAAGUUUUUUAUUUCCUUGGGGUGCCCACACGGAUAAAGUGCCCAGAGGCCCAGGUGUCCAUAGAAAAAAGAGCUUCCAGGUGGCCCGAUCGUCAGGCCGACACGGAGCAAAUUGCACCUUCUUUAGUCUAGGAGCAACAAAGGCUUAAAGACAGUGAGGCUGCCUGCAUUUGACAGCACUACACACAGCCUUGUUUGGCCACAAAUCUGUAUAUGUGCUCUGGAGAAGAGGGAAAGAGCAGGUGUUCUUGACCACUCAUAGCCUGACAAUGCAUGAGCUGAGAGCAGACCAACAGCAGACAAAAGCUUUAGCUUGCAAACCAAGUCAAAAGUGGGUGGGCUCUUAGACUUUGCUGCUUUUUAAUGACAAUUUGCUGGGCCUGCCUGUUGCAAACAGUUUCCGCAAGUACUUCAUAGCACUAGAAAGAGUUUGCGGGGGUUUUCUGUGGUUGGCAAAACCAAUCUGCUCCAGCAGGAAAUAUUUUAUUGUGCUCAAAGCUUUAUUCUGAAAGCCCCAGGGAUUAUAAAGUGAAAAGAAAACAAAGCAAGAAAAGCCCCUCUGCCUUCUCAAAAUUAGUUGUGAAAUUUCUCGGAGGUCUCCCUUUCGCCUGUGCCUGCCGAGAUGGCCUGAGGCGUCACCUCAAUCUCUGCCCAUGCCUUCACUCUGCCGGCACGCUUCACUUGUCCAGGAGAGUGGAAGGAAAUGCUGAUAUUAGGUGCAGACUCUUGCUGACUGGUAUGAGCCUUUAUACCCUUUUAAAUAUACUACUUUGUUCUCUUUGGCUGCUUCUUGAGAUCCCAAUUUUUUUUCCUCCCUGGAAGCUGUGUGUGUUCCCACUCUUCUGCCUCCUCCCCACUCAGUCCCAGUGUCCGUGUACCUCUGCUAUUCUUCCUCUCUUGUGUGUUCCUAACUUCUUUUUCUUGCAUCCAAGUUUACCAAGACUUCCUCAGUAGAAACUGCAAAGUCCAGCAGUGUGCCCAGGUGGCCAAGAAAGCCAAUGGCAUCCUGGCUUGUAUUAGAAAUAGUGUGACCAGCAGAAGUAGGGAGGUGAUUGUCCCCCUGUACUCAGCACUGGUGAGGCCACACCUUGAGUAUUGUGUCCAGUUUUGGGCACCUCAAUACGAGAGAGAUAUCGAGGUGCUGGAGCGAGUGCAGAGGAGGGCAAGAAAGCUGGUGAAGGGCCUGCAGAAUAAAUCUUACGAGAAGCGAUUGAAGGAGCUGGGACUAUUUAGUUUGAGGAAGAGGAGGCUGAGGGGAGACCUCAUCGCUCUCUACAACUACUUGAAAGGGCAUUGUAGAGAAGUUGGUGCUGGUCUCUUCUCACAGGAAUUAGCGAUAGAACAAGAGGCAAUGGGUUCAAGCUGCAGCAGGGUAGGUUUAGCUGGACAUUAGGAAAAAAUUCUUCACAGAAAGAGUGGUCAGACACUGGAAUAGGCUGCCCAGGGAGGUGGUGGAGUCACCAUCCCUGAAUGUGUUUAAGACCCGUUUAGAUGUGGUGUUAGGAGACAUGGUGUAAGGGAGAGCUUUGUAGAGUGGAGUUGAUGGUUGGGCUCGAUGAUCCCAAGGGUCUUUUCCAACCUAAAUGAUUCUAUGAUUCUGUGAUUCUAUUCUGUGAUUCUAAGUCCUUCUUAAGGAUGCUGCCAACGGGGAAAAAAAAAAGCUAUGGUGGUUAUGGAGUGAUGUAAAAGUUGCAGGGCCUUGAAUACAUAGGUGUGGUGACAACUGGUGAAGAAGUAAAGGUUAUGAUAAAUAGAUCUGGGACAUUUGAAAGAUUUGAGGGUUGCUUUAUUUCUCAGGCAACUUUUUUUUUCCCUUUGAGUUAUUCAUAAAAGCCAAAUAUGGAAAAAUAGAAUACGUAGAGAAGAUUUGCUUUUAUUUUGGAAAAACGCAAUUGUAAAGCAACUGUAAAGCAAUUGUUAACAAAAAGCCUUUUUACACGACCAUUGUCAUUUUAUUCAAAAUCAUGUUUUGUUUGAUAUUAAAAAAAAAAAAGGCAUAAAGACUUUCAUGAAGGGCAAGCCAAUUCUGCAUUUCAGACUUGCUGGUCUAUGUAUCUUUAAGAUCAGUGAAGCCCACAUGGAGUUGUAUUACAUACGGGUAAGGCUUAUUAUGUUAUUAUUUGAGUUUAUCGUCAAGUAAGUGAGACAGGGAUUUAUUCAUGGACCACCCUGUUUAAGCCAUUUCUUGUCUUAAAGAAACCAAACCGAAGUAUUCCCACAAGUAUUGAAUGCACUCUGCUGCUUUGACUUCAGAAAAAGACCACCUCUGUUAAGCAGUGAUUUAUUUUUUUUGUUGGUCUCUUGGGUGACCACUGAUGGCAGAUAUUUCUGUGUUUCCUAUGGUAGAAGCAAUAUGUUCUGAAAUAUUUUGGUUAUGUUUAAAGUAUAUGUAUGAAAACGUGAUAUAUGUUAAAGUGAUGUAUGGCAAAAAAUAAUAUUGAUAUGCAUAUUGGAUAUAUCAAGAGGAAAUGUGCAAGGUAUUUUCAUAAGCAUAUGUUCUACUUUAUUUGGGAGAGGAAUAUUGGAGAGGAUGGGAACACUUAUGAAAAUGUAUGGAAGCCUUUUAUAGUGUGUUGAAGCAAUUUUUCUGAUAAAAGUUUGGAAAAUAUCCAAAAAUGUUAUGGUACAUAA